AACAUUUAUAUGUACAUUUGUUUAACUGUGUUUUUAUUUUGUAGCUUUUUAUUGGUCAUGUUAUUUAAAACUAAAAUCAUGCUUGUUUGCUACACUGUUUGAAAGGGAAAGAAAAAAUUACAACACUUCUGCUAACAUGAUUUUUUUUGAAAAUGAGCUAUUUACCAUUUUUUACUUAAAUGUUUCUUCCUUUCAAUUUGUCCUCCUCCAUGAAACCGUGUCAUUCUUUCAUGAACUUUUCGUUAAAAAGUGGUUGAGAGCAUGCUUGGCUAAGCUUAAGAAGUACAUAAGUUCAAAAUAACUUCUUCUUUUUUGUUGAUUGAAGUUGGAAAUAAGGAAGUUACUUAAAUUUCACAACAACACAAGACAGAUUUGAAAUAAGAACUUUUGUUACUUAAGAAGUGAGAAAAAGUAACAUAUCCCAACAUCUUUGAAAACUAAAAUUAAUUAAAAGUAACUAUUGCUUAAUUUAAGCUUAGCCAAGCAUGCUCUAAAAGUCGUGACUACAUUGCAUUUCUUGCCUUGAUAAN
RNAcentral lists this long non-coding RNA (530 nucleotides) under Olea europaea (common olive). Its description in RNAcentral is "long non-coding RNA (OEUR_LNC011414)". Lineage: Eukaryota; Viridiplantae; Streptophyta; Magnoliopsida; Lamiales; Oleaceae. The record is from RNAcentral.